UGAUUUUACCCAUUAGUUUUUUAAUUUCAUCCACUAUCCUUUUUUUCCUAAAACUCUUUCUCUGCCUCUUACUCACACGAUUUUGUCCACCUUCCUUUUUUAAUUAAAACUUUUUUUCCCCAAACUCUUUCUCUCCCUCCCACUAUCACACGUUCCUCCCACUCUUUCUUAUUUCUUUUACCUUAUUCUUUCAAAUGGCAGAUUUGUUUGUUGCCCACGAUUCUUUACUUCUCUACAGAAGUUUAUCGGUGAAUCUAUCUAAUAGGGCUUUUAAGACGAAAGUGUAUAAAGGAAUAGCGGAAAACAGAGAAGGAACCGACUCCAUUCAAGGGUAAUUUCUGUCUUCAAAGUUCUGGUUUGAAUCAGUCAAGCCUGAUCCUGGUUCAAGCCGCUUCAAAUUGGCCUCUCCUUACAGCUUUUCUAGGGUUCUUCAACCGAUUUGGAGGCCGAUUUCGGCUUUUAAAACCCUGAUUCUACCAGAUGUUGAUUUUUCACAUAAAAGGGGCUGACCAGAUUACUACCCAAAUUGCUGUUGGAAAAAGAAUUUUGGGUAAAGAGACAAAAUUAGAUUUGUUCUUCCCGGAGUGUAGUCUUGUAUUGCUUGUGGUAACUGUUGCAUGUACUUUUUCAAAUCGAUUGUUUAGUUAUGUUAAUGCAUGUUAGAUUAUGAUAAACCAAUGAAUUUCUUGGGAAAUGGCUACAAAUUUCAUGGUCUUCUUUUACUUGUUUGUCUGAAAGAAAUGAGCAUUUGGCAAGUAUUAUAAACCCCAUCCUUUCUUAUAGAAUGCUUCUAGAUAGCUCUAGAGUCAUUCAAGUAUCUUACCAUUUUCUGUUUGCAUUUUCUAACUAACAUUUUUGUAUAUGAACACUUGCAGAAAUGGUGCAUAUCAGAGAUCCUUAGAAAUGAGAUUUUUUUUAUCAAUCAUGCUUUCCAACUAACUUGUUGACAAUAUAAUAUUUGUUCUACUCUCAUGACAUCAUUCUUAGUUUUUAGUUUACUGUUUAAAUUUUUCUUAAUGUCUUGUUGAUUAGGGCAGUAUUCAUUUAAUCUUUUGUUUUGAUUUUGUAAUCAUACUUGUUCUCUUAUAACUCUAAAAUGACAUCCUAUGGUAGACAUGAUGAUCCCUCGUGGGUUUGCAUUCCUUACUCUCA
Macadamia integrifolia is the source of this 1152-nucleotide long non-coding RNA. RefSeq lists it as uncharacterized. The transcript is spliced from 3 exons. The record is from RefSeq and is a predicted model, not a curated record. Lineage: Eukaryota; Viridiplantae; Streptophyta; Magnoliopsida; Proteales; Proteaceae.